GAAAAAGGCUAGGUGAUACUCGUUAUCUAACGAUAGCGGGAGGAAAGUCCGAGCUCCAAAGGGAAGCGUAAUGGCUUAAUAGCCAUCCUUUAAUUUUAUUUAAAUUGAAGAGGAUACUCUUGAAAAAAGAGCCCCGUUUUUACGGGUGAGAGCCACAGAGACGAGUAGUUCGUGUUAAGCGAAUGACGUGAAACGAGGUAAUCUCUACGCGGAGCAAGGCCAAGUAGAAGGAGAGAACUAUCCCGGUUCGUUAUUAUCCUUGGGUUGGCCGCUUGAAUCUGAUGGAAACAUCGGAUCUUAGAUAAAUGUCACCGCUCAGAAAUGAGUAAACAGAACUCGGCUUACAGGCCUGUUUUUAAA
RNAcentral lists this RNase P RNA (360 nucleotides) under Candidatus Gygaella obscura. Its description in RNAcentral is "RNase P RNA component class A". It matches the Rfam family "Bacterial RNase P class A". Rfam says of the family: Ribonuclease P (RNase P) is a ubiquitous endoribonuclease, found in archaea, bacteria and eukarya as well as chloroplasts and mitochondria. Its best characterised activity is the generation of mature 5'-ends of tRNAs by cleaving the 5'-leader elements of precursor-tRNAs. Lineage: Bacteria; Pseudomonadati; Candidatus Omnitrophota. The record is from RNAcentral.